Molecule: ribosomal RNA, 1557 nt
Filed under: Staphylococcus aureus
Lineage: Bacteria; Bacillati; Bacillota; Bacilli; Caryophanales; Staphylococcaceae
Description: 16S ribosomal RNA
Rfam family: Bacterial small subunit ribosomal RNA
Source: RNAcentral
UUUUAUGGAGAGUUUGAUCCUGGCUCAGGAUGAACGCUGGCGGCGUGCCUAAUACAUGCAAGUCGAGCGAACAGACGAGAAGCUUGCUUCUCUGAUGUUAGCGGCGGACGGGUGAGUAACACGUGGAUAACCUACCUAUAAGACUGGGAUAACUUCGGGAAACCGGAGCUAAUACCGGAUAAUAUUUUGAACCGCAUGGUUCAAAAGUGAAAGACGGUCUUGCUGUCACUUAUAGAUGGAUCCGCGCUGCAUUAGCUAGUUGGUAAGGUAACGGCUUACCAAGGCAACGAUGCAUAGCCGACCUGAGAGGGUGAUCGGCCACACUGGAACUGAGACACGGUCCAGACUCCUACGGGAGGCAGCAGUAGGGAAUCUUCCGCAAUGGGCGAAAGCCUGACGGAGCAACGCCGCGUGAGUGAUGAAGGUCUUCGGAUCGUAAAACUCUGUUAUUAGGGAAGAACAUAUGUGUAAGUAACUGUGCACAUCUUGACGGUACCUAAUCAGAAAGCCACGGCUAACUACGUGCCAGCAGCCGCGGUAAUACGUAGGUGGCAAGCGUUAUCCGGAAUUAUUGGGCGUAAAGCGCGCGUAGGCGGUUUUUUAAGUCUGAUGUGAAAGCCCACGGCUCAACCGUGGAGGGUCAUUGGAAACUGGAAAACUUGAGUGCAGAAGAGGAAAGUGGAAUUCCAUGUGUAGCGGUGAAAUGCGCAGAGAUAUGGAGGAACACCAGUGGCGAAGGCGACUUUCUGGUCUGUAACUGACGCUGAUGUGCGAAAGCGUGGGGAUCAAACAGGAUUAGAUACCCUGGUAGUCCACGCCGUAAACGAUGAGUGCUAAGUGUUAGGGGGUUUCCGCCCCUUAGUGCUGCAGCUAACGCAUUAAGCACUCCGCCUGGGGAGUACGACCGCAAGGUUGAAACUCAAAGGAAUUGACGGGGACCCGCACAAGCGGUGGAGCAUGUGGUUUAAUUCGAAGCAACGCGAAGAACCUUACCAAAUCUUGACAUCCUUUGACAACUCUAGAGAUAGAGCCUUCCCCUUCGGGGGACAAAGUGACAGGUGGUGCAUGGUUGUCGUCAGCUCGUGUCGUGAGAUGUUGGGUUAAGUCCCGCAACGAGCGCAACCCUUAAGCUUAGUUGCCAUCAUUAAGUUGGGCACUCUAAGUUGACUGCCGGUGACAAACCGGAGGAAGGUGGGGAUGACGUCAAAUCAUCAUGCCCCUUAUGAUUUGGGCUACACACGUGCUACAAUGGACAAUACAAAGGGCAGCGAAACCGCGAGGUCAAGCAAAUCCCAUAAAGUUGUUCUCAGUUCGGAUUGUAGUCUGCAACUCGACUACAUGAAGCUGGAAUCGCUAGUAAUCGUAGAUCAGCAUGCUACGGUGAAUACGUUCCCGGGUCUUGUACACACCGCCCGUCACACCACGAGAGUUUGUAACACCCGAAGCCGGUGGAGUAACCUUUUAGGAGCUAGCCGUCGAAGGUGGGACAAAUGAUUGGGGUGAAGUCGUAACAAGGUAGCCGUAUCGGAAGGUGCGGCUGGAUCACCUCCUUUCUAA